UACGGGAGGCAGCAGUGGGGAAUAUUGCACAAUGGGCGCAAGCCUGAUGCAGCCAUGCCGCGUGUAUGAAGAAGGCCUUCGGGUUGUAAAGUACUUUCAGUCGUGAGGAAGGUGUUAAGGUUAAUAACCUUAGCAAUUGACGUUAGCGACAGAAGAAGCACCGGCUAACUCCGUGCCAGCAGCCGCGGUAAUACGGAGGGUGCGAGCGUUAAUCGGAAUUACUGGGCGUAAAGGGCACGCAGGCGGUUAAUUAAGUUGGAUGUGAAAUCCCCGGGCUUAACCUGGGAAUGGCAUUCAAGACUGGUUAGCUAGAGUCUUGUAGAGGGGGUAGAAUUCCGAUGUGUAGCGGUGAAAUGCGUAGAGAUGUGGAGGAAUACCGGUGGCGAAGGCGGCCCCUGGACAAAGACUGACGCUCAUGUGCGAAAGCGUGGGGAGCAAAC
This 440-nucleotide ribosomal RNA is filed under the name uncultured bacterium. Its description in RNAcentral is "bacterial SSU rRNA". It matches the Rfam family "Bacterial small subunit ribosomal RNA", at positions 340 to 773 of the family's 1533-position model. The record is from RNAcentral.